RNAcentral lists this ribosomal RNA (485 nucleotides) under uncultured bacterium. RNAcentral's name for it is "bacterial SSU rRNA". It matches the Rfam family "Bacterial small subunit ribosomal RNA", at positions 20 to 518 of the family's 1533-position model. The record is from RNAcentral.
UGGCUCAGGACGAACGCUGGCGGCAUGCCUAACACAUGCAAGUCGAACGGAGUUAUUUGGAUUCGUCUGGAUAACUUAGUGGCGGACGGGUGAGUAACACGUGAGCAACCUGCCCUUCAGAGGGGGACAACAGUUGGAGACGACUGCUAAUACCGCAUAACAUAUACUUAAGGCAUCUUGAGUAUAUCAAAGAUUUAUCGCUGAGGGAUGGGCUCGCGUCUGAUUAGAUAGUUGGUGAGGUAACGGCCCACCAAGUCUACGAUCAGUAGCCGGACUGAGAGGUUGAACGGCCACAUUGGGACUGAGAUACGGCCCAGACUCCUACGGGAGGCAGCAGUGGGGAAUAUUGGUCAAUGGGGGGCCAACCCUGAACCAGCAAUGCCGCGUGAAGGAAGAAGGCCUUCGGGUUGUAAACUUCUUUGACCAGGGACGAUAAUGACGGUACCUGGAAAACAAGCCACGGCUAACUACGUGCCAGCCGCUGC